CCUUCGAUAGCUCAGUAUGUAGAGCGGGCGACUGUAGUUGUUGAAAGCAAUCAUCCCUAGGUCACUGGUUCGAAUCCAGUUCGAAGGA
This 88-nucleotide transfer RNA is filed under the name Paramuricea clavata. It matches the Rfam family "tRNA". Rfam says of the family: Transfer RNA (tRNA) molecules are approximately 80 nucleotides in length. Their secondary structure includes four short double-helical elements and three loops (D, anti-codon, and T loops). Further hydrogen bonds mediate the characteristic L-shaped molecular structure. tRNAs have two regions of fundamental functional importance: the anti-codon, which is responsible for specific mRNA codon recognition, and the 3' end, to which the tRNAs corresponding amino acid is attached (by aminoacyl-tRNA synthetases). tRNAs cope with the degeneracy of the genetic code in two manners: having more than one tRNA (with a specific anti-codon) for a particular amino acid; and 'wobble' base-pairing, i.e. permitting non-standard base-pairing at the 3rd anti-codon position. Lineage: Eukaryota; Metazoa; Cnidaria; Anthozoa; Malacalcyonacea; Plexauridae. The record is from Rfam by way of RNAcentral.